This 62-nucleotide microRNA precursor is filed under the name Danio rerio (zebrafish). RNAcentral describes it as "Dre-Mir-15-P1d_pre stem-loop". The record is from RNAcentral. RNAcentral also lists the same sequence under 1 other name. Lineage: Eukaryota; Metazoa; Chordata; Actinopteri; Cypriniformes; Danionidae.
UAGCAGCACAUCAUGGUUUGUAAGUUAUAAGGGCAAAUUCCGAAUCAUGAUGUGCUGUCACU